RNAcentral lists this ribosomal RNA (651 nucleotides) under Entrophospora sp. RNAcentral describes it as "SSU rRNA". It matches the Rfam family "Eukaryotic small subunit ribosomal RNA", at positions 423 to 1072 of the family's 1831-position model. The record is from RNAcentral. Lineage: Eukaryota; Fungi; Glomeromycota; Glomeromycetes; Entrophosporales; Entrophosporaceae.
AGGCAGCAGGCGCGCAAAUUACCCAAUCCCGACACGGGGAGGUAGUGACAAUAAAUAACAAUACGGGGCUCUUUCGGGUCUCGUAAUUGGAAUGAGUACAAUUUAAAUCCCUUAACGAGGAACAAUUGGAGGGCAAGUCUGGUGCCAGCAGCCGCGGUAAUUCCAGCUCCAAUAGCGUAUAUUAAAGUUGUUGCAGUUAAAAAGCUCGUAGUUGAAUUUCGGGAUUGACACAUCGGUCGUGCCUUAAGGGGUAUGAACUGGUGUAGUCAAUUUCUCACCUUCUGGAGAACCGCGAUGCCCUUAAUUGGGUGUCGCGGGGAACCAGGACCUUUACUUUGAAAAAAUUAGAGUGUUUAAAGCAGGCAUUUUGCUUGAAUACAUUAGCAUGGAAUAAUAAAAUAGGACGGCAUGAUUCUAUUUUGUUGGUUUCUAGGAUCACCGUAAUGAUUAAUAGGGAUAGUUGGGGGCAUUAGUAUUCAAUUGUCAGAGGUGAAAUUCUUGGAUUUAUUGAAGACUAACUACUGCGAAAGCAUUUGCCAAGGAUGUUUUCAUUAAUCAAGAACGAAAGUUAGGGGAUCGAAGACGAUCAGAUACCGUCGUAGUCUUAACCAUAAACUAUGCCGACUAGGAAUCAGACGAUGUUAAUUUUUU